GCACGGAGUUAGCCGGUGCUUCCUUUGGAGGUACCGUCACUCGCCUUGCGGCGCAUUCGUCCCUCCCGACAGUGGUUUACAACCCGAAGGCCGUCAUCCCACACGCGGCGUCGCUGCGUCAGGCUUUCGCCCAUUGCGCAAUAUUCCCCACUGCUGCCUCCCGUAGGAGUCUGGGCCGUGUCUCAGUCCCAAUGUGGCUGGCCAUCCUCUCAGACCAGCUACCCGUCGUCGCCUUGGUGAGCCGUUACCCCACCAACUAGCUGAUAGGCCGCGAGGCACUCUUUCGGUGCAUUGCUGCUUUCACCAACCGGGGAUGUCCCCGAGAGGUCGUACGCGGUAUUACCCGGCCGUUGGGCCGGCUAUCCCCCGCCGAAAGUCAUGUUCCUCACGUGUUACGCACCCGUCCGCCACUGAACCAGAGUUGCCCCUGAUCCCGUUCGACUUGCAUGUGUUAGGCACGCCGCCAGCGUUCGUC
This 475-nucleotide ribosomal RNA is filed under the name uncultured bacterium. RNAcentral describes it as "partial 16S rRNA". The record is from RNAcentral.